AAGUCGUAACAAGGUAACCGUAGGUGAACCUGCGGUUGGAUCAGUAACAAAAUGAUAAGAGUCCGGACCAUAAAACGUCCUGGGCUUUUAUAAACACCUGUGAACUGUAAUUGUAUCUGGUGAGUCUUUUAGGCUCACCGUCAAUAAUUUGAACUUUUAUAUCUUGAAUUAGUUUUUAAUUAAUAUUUAAUCUAAAACAACUUUUGACAACGGAGCUCUAGGCUCUCGC
This 229-nucleotide unclassified non-coding RNA is filed under the name fungal sp. RNAcentral describes it as "partial internal transcribed spacer region". The stretch from base 1 to 46 matches the Rfam family "Eukaryotic small subunit ribosomal RNA", at positions 1786 to 1831 of the family's 1831-position model. The record is from RNAcentral. Lineage: Eukaryota; Fungi.